Long non-coding RNA from Nematostella vectensis (starlet sea anemone), 345 nucleotides. RefSeq lists it as uncharacterized. Lineage: Eukaryota; Metazoa; Cnidaria; Anthozoa; Actiniaria; Edwardsiidae. The record is from RefSeq and is a predicted model, not a curated record. The transcript has 2 exons.
CACUAUAUGUUAAAAAGUACCCUAUUAAUAACAUUUUAAAUACAAGAUUGAUUGCCUAAUGUUAUGAGGCAAGGAGAGGGGUAUACCGGUCCUCCCCGCUCAAAAUCCUGGCUACAGGCCUGUGUAGUCAGUGCCCCCUUAAGUAAUCCUUGAGUAAUCCUUGAUCCUUCCUUGGGGAUAUAGUUGCUAAAGAACUCUGGCUAUCAUGAUAAGCUUUCUGAAGCAAGCAAGCUUACCCUGGUCUACCAAGGUGGUCCUAUGAACGAAGAAGAAGCAAACCGGUUUGAAUCCCUUUCUGCUUUUAAGGCAAUGGUCAAGAUGAGGUCUUGGGAUGAACAAGCAAAA